CCUACGGGAGGCUGCAGUGGGGAAUAUUGGACAAUGGGCGAAAGCCUGAUCCAGCCAUGCCGCGUGUGUGAAGAAGGCCUUCGGGUUGUAAAGCACUUUCAGUGGGGAAGAAAGCCUUGGGGCUAAUACCCUCGAGGAAGGACAUCACCCACAGAAGAAGCACCGGCUGACUCCGUGCCAGCAGCCGCGGUAAUACGGAGGGUGCGAGCGUUAAUCGGAAUUACUGGGCGUAAAGCGCGCGUAGGCGGUCUGAUAAGCCGGUUGUGAAAGCCCCGGGCUCAACCUGGGAACGGCAUCCGGAACUGUCAGGCUAGAGUGCAGGAGAGGAAGGUAGAAUUCCCGGUGUAGCGGUGAAAUGCGUAGAGAUCGGGAGGAAUACCAGUGGCGAAGGCGGCCUUCUGGACUGACACUGACGCUGAGGUGCGAAAGCGUGGGUAGCAAACAGGAUUAGAUACCCCAGUAGUC
This 465-nucleotide ribosomal RNA is filed under the name Vreelandella stevensii. RNAcentral's name for it is "partial 16S ribosomal RNA". It matches the Rfam family "Bacterial small subunit ribosomal RNA", at positions 338 to 795 of the family's 1533-position model. Lineage: Bacteria; Pseudomonadati; Pseudomonadota; Gammaproteobacteria; Oceanospirillales; Halomonadaceae. The record is from RNAcentral.